AGCACAGUUCCUUAUAAUUAACUAUAAAUUAGAAAAGGAUUGGGAGGACUUUUUAGGGAAACAGACACCAAACUCCUGCUAAAGCAGAUGGGAGUGGGACUGAAGAGUUGCUUUGGUCUCCCUCAAGUCUGUGACAGACUCAGAUAUUCCCCAGAAGAGAUCAGUUUUCCAACAAUUUGAAAACUGACAGCGUUCUCUAGAAUGACCUGUUCUAACCUUCCCAUUUUCUGAAUGAGGCAACUGAGAGAUUCAGGGAGGGUUGGCCAAAGUCACACAGCAGUAAGGUCAGAACUGGAACCAGAGCCCACCCUUCUGAGUCCAUGGCCAGUGGCUCUGGCUGCCACUGCGUUUUUGCAUGCUCAGAUGCCUGUGCCUUUCCUGUUUCCAGUAGGUUCCAAAUGCUCCCUGCUGAAGUGGUAUGCCUCAGUGGAGAAGAGGGAACACGGUGAUCAGUCACUGAGGGUUUCAGAUAUGCUGGCGCCCACCUAGCCUCACACUGGCCACAGGAUAGAGCUGUGGUCUCCUUGUAAGCAGCAUGGUUAUUUCUAUGGCUGCCCUCUGUCUCCCCCCUAAGCCAGGGAAUCUGCUGUUCUGAGAAGGAAAUCAGCCCAAAGCUAAUUAGCAGUGAGUAUGUGUCCGUGUUUAGUAGAGGUUUGCUAUCCCUGUGAUUCCCUGGUCUCAGAUCAUCUGGGCCUUAGUUGUCACGGAGCCACCAUGGGGAGGCAGGAAAAGCCUUUGAAGAGCUGUCCCUAACCCAUUUGAGGCAAAGCCCUGAUGUCAUUUCCCUGGACAGUGUGUGUGUGAGACAGACAGGGCCAGCCACCCAAGGAAGCCAGUGCGCAGAGUUCGUGGGCCUUGAUGUGAUGUUUUCCUGCCUACCGGCUACCAUAGAGGGCAUAGAGUGCCCUGUUUUCAAGUUUUCCAGCUCCCUUUCCUUGAUGAACUUGACCGCAGCCCACCCCUAGGAUUUUCUUUGGUUCCCUAUGAUACCAGGCUGUGUGCGUGUGGAGGAGUGAGAUAAUUUAAGGCAUGCCUCCAGCUGGCAAAGAGCCUGAAGGCGCGUAUUGAAGAGAGCUGGGUUUCCUUCCAUGUGUUGUUAAAGACCAUCCUACCAGCAGUAAUACUCAUGAGCAGCACCGUGCCAGGCCUGCGGAGAGCGAUGUGUGUGCUGGGUACUGCACCCUUGGCAGCUACCUGGGCAGCAAGUGCCUAUUGUUGGUGAAGCCACAUAACUGGAAGGGAUGUGUUUGAACCUCCAGAGCCAAAUGGUCAGCAGCUGGGAGAAGCAACCUAAAUAUCCAGGAAGAGGGGAGCUGCCUCAGCCCACCCAAACCCAGAGGGAAGUCAGUCGCAGUUGAUCAUCUGGACCUUUCAUUUGAGUGAAUAUAUCCCAGAGGCCCUCAUUCCUAGACAGCUCCCCCAGGACCAGUCUGAACUGCAGGAGUAAAAUGUGCUCGGCAAGCUUAUGUUCCAAACAUGCUCAAGGUGUGGUGACUGGGGCAGAGCCUUCAGCAAGACCUGAGUCGUCUACCUUCUGAGACUUUCCUGUGUGACACCAAAUGAUAACAGGCUGAUGUUGGCAAUGGAGUUUAAAUAAACCAUAAGAAUCAAAAGCUUUGAAAGUGUCUGCUAAUUCUCCUUUCUCCUUUCUUUUUCGUGUGUGUAUGUGUUUGU
Molecule: long non-coding RNA, 1674 nt
Organism: Castor canadensis (American beaver)
Lineage: Eukaryota; Metazoa; Chordata; Mammalia; Rodentia; Castoridae
Source: RefSeq, a predicted model, not a curated record